Molecule: long non-coding RNA, 398 nt
Organism: Aquila chrysaetos chrysaetos
Lineage: Eukaryota; Metazoa; Chordata; Aves; Accipitriformes; Accipitridae
Exons: 2
Source: RefSeq, a predicted model, not a curated record
GUUCUAUUUUCUGGUGGAAUGGUUUUCCAGUUGGAUUUAACAAAGGAUUGCCUCUCUGCUUGCUGUGGCAGUUUGGGCUACUGGGCCAUGUCUGAGUGCUUGAGAAAACUGAGAGUAAAAAAACAGACAGCCGAUGUUCUGGUUCUUCAGAGAAGAAGGACCAAUGGGAAGGGGAAUUUGUGAAACUUCAGGGUGUUUUAUCUGUCUCUGCCUGAAAAAUCAGAGUUGAUAGCUUUCAUCUGAUCACAAAUGUUGCUCUGAAUUCAUGCAAGGCCAUAUACUGUGGCAAAACUACACUUUUUGCUUCCUCUCAGUAUCAUCCAACAUCCAAAAAGAGAUACGAUCCCCAGUCUAAAAGCAUAAAGACCAUCCCUCAUCUCUCACCCCACCCCCCCCCC